Long non-coding RNA from Papaver somniferum (opium poppy), 537 nucleotides. RefSeq lists it as uncharacterized. The transcript is spliced from 3 exons. Lineage: Eukaryota; Viridiplantae; Streptophyta; Magnoliopsida; Ranunculales; Papaveraceae. The record is from RefSeq and is a predicted model, not a curated record.
AUAAGAUCUGAUGUGCCCGUAAAAAUUCAAGCCUCCACGAUUGCCAAUCAUGUUUAUAUGGAUGAAAAGAUAGUCAUGAUCUGGAUCAAGAAUGCUCAAAUGUUCCUAAGAAUGCUAAAUUUGUUAUGGAUGAAAACAUGGUUCAUUUUUCAGGGAAACACGAAGGUUGAUGAAGGCUGGCUUAUUCGAGCGCUAAAAUUAAAAUAAGACCUAUAAUUUAAAAGUAAAUUUCCGGUUGAUAAAGGUUUGGCUAAUCUGAUUUUCUUAAAGAUAUGAUGCAAGGAAAUUUUUUAUUUUUCUAUAAUAAAAUAUGAGUUCUACAUGGUUUUAAUAUUUAAUUAUCCACUUAAUUUUUUUGGUGGGACAUUAUUUUUUUUAAUAAAUGUAGAUCUAAUUAUGAGGGUUAUUAAUGCAUAUUUCCAUAAUUGAAGAAGGUUACAACUCCUACAUUCGUUAGAUGCAAAUGGCUAGGAUGAGACUGGGAUGGUCAGAUCAUCCCUUUGUCUCUGAAAAUGUUAUUCGUCCAUCGGUUUGUAU